UCCGUAGGGUGCAAGCGUUAAUCGGAAUUACUGGGCGUAAAGCGUGCGCAGGCGGUUUUGUAAGACUGUCGUGAAAUCCCCGGGCUUAACCUGGGAAUGGCGAUGGUGACUGCAAGGCUAGAGUUUGGCAGAGGGGGGUAGAAUUCCACGUGUAGCAGUGAAAUGCGUAGAGAUGUGGAGGAACACCGAUGGCGAAGGCAGCCCCCUGGGUCAAAACUGACGCUCAUGCACGAAAGCGUGGGGAGCAAACAGG
Molecule: ribosomal RNA, 253 nt
Filed under: uncultured bacterium
Lineage: Bacteria
Description: partial 16S ribosomal RNA
Rfam family: Bacterial small subunit ribosomal RNA
Source: RNAcentral